UAAGAGGUACGUGCAUGGUAGG
This 22-nucleotide unclassified non-coding RNA is filed under the name Chlamydomonas reinhardtii. RNAcentral's name for it is "small RNA Cre_2140". The record is from RNAcentral. Lineage: Eukaryota; Viridiplantae; Chlorophyta; Chlorophyceae; Chlamydomonadales; Chlamydomonadaceae.